Hyla sarda is the source of this 1431-nucleotide long non-coding RNA. RefSeq lists it as uncharacterized. Lineage: Eukaryota; Metazoa; Chordata; Amphibia; Anura; Hylidae. The record is from RefSeq and is a predicted model, not a curated record. The transcript is spliced from 3 exons.
CGUCACAUGACUAAUCAGACGUCUUCAGUCAUUUAGCAGUCAGCAAGCAGUUCAUUUUGCGACCUUCAAUCUCGAGUUCUUCGCUGACUUUAUUGUAUAACAUACUUUUUCAUAAUUCUAUCUAGAGAAUGUUAUUGUUCUACCAGGAUUAAAUCUUUAGUUUGUUAAACCUCUGAAGGGUUGGCAUUAUUGGCACUUUGUCAGAACGCGAUGGCUCAGAUUUCACCGGCUCACAUGUGGAGUAGACAAGAUUAAUAGUAUUUCCUCUGAGUGUUUGUACGAGAUUAGAAUCGUAUAUACCACAUCCGAAACUCAUCUUCAGAUCCUCAUCCAUCAAGAGAAACAACCAGGGACUGUUUAGCCAAUGCCCUCAGGAGUGAUGCCAAGGUCAAACUGUUAAGAAAGGUCCAUACCCGAUGACCUUCACAGUUACCGUAAAGACUACAUGCAUACUAUGGUGCCAUCUUUCUGGCGCGGCUGACGUGCGCUGCACAUAUAAUGUCCUCAUUAAGUGAAGCCUCAGAUUUUAAAGCAUAGCAUUGAUUCUAAGCACCAAUCCAGGAAUUCAUCCCACGGACAGCUGGUACUUCUUGUGGGAGUCCUCCGCUGCGCUACAGUCAUGUUCUAUAAUUAAUUAGAAAAAUAAAAAAAAGCUGCCAUAACCGAGAAUGGGGAUCAUACCUGACCAGUCUGAACCGCCAUGUAAUUAAAUCCCUUCUCUUCCGAGCACAUUAAUGUAUCGUAUAGGGGGCCCACGUAUAGAAACGGUGACGCAAUCAUCAUGCAGAGCAGCACAUUUAUUAUCGGAGGAUAAAAUGACUCAAUUAGAGCGACAUAGGAAAAUCAUAACGUCGCUGAACGCCGGUCACAGAUUUCAUCAGCGCAAUUUCUAGCAGAUUGGUAUUUUUUCCAGGUCUAUUGAUGACUCACAUCCAAAGCAAAUGAAGCAAAAAAAUAAUAAUAACAGCACAGCAUAACAUAAAUAUAAAAAAAAGUAGAAACAAAUUUCAGAGUGGCAGCUGCAGGAGAUCGGUUGUUUCUUCAUUGGAAAAUGUAGAAGCUUAAAGAAGAUGUCCAGUGCUAAGAAAUGUAUCCCCUAUCCGCAGGAUAAAUGUCUGAUUGUGUGGGGGGGGUCCGACAGCUGGGACCCAGCGAUCUCUCAUACAGGGCCCGACUCGGCCCUGGCUGAGCUGCUGUGUGUGCCGUUUCGCACACAGCAGGUCAGCUUGUACAAACACCCCCCCUCCAUUCAACUCUAUCGGAGAGACAGAGACAAAGCAUUCCCGUAUCUCUGCCUCUCCCAUAGAGAUGAAUGGAGGGGGCGUGUUAUGACCACUGGUCAUUGACCAGCCCCUGAGAACCAACAUUUACCCCCUAUCUUGCAGAUAAGGGAUAAUGGGGAAGAUUUAUCAAGACCAGUGGGGAGGAAAA